This 73-nucleotide transfer RNA is filed under the name Anguilla anguilla (European eel). RNAcentral's name for it is "tRNA-OTHER". The record is from RNAcentral. Lineage: Eukaryota; Metazoa; Chordata; Actinopteri; Anguilliformes; Anguillidae.
GGCAAUGUAGUUCAGUGUUUAGAGGAACUGGGCUUGUAACCCAGAGAUUGCAGGUUCGAUUCCCAUGUAGCCC